Molecule: ribosomal RNA, 265 nt
Filed under: uncultured archaeon
Lineage: Archaea
Description: partial 16S ribosomal RNA
Rfam family: Archaeal small subunit ribosomal RNA
Source: RNAcentral
ACACGACUACAUUAGAUACCCGCGUAGUCCUAGCCGUAAACGAUACUCGCUAGGUGUCGGCCACGGUGCUACCGUUGUCGGUGCCGUAGGGAAGCCGUGAAGCGAGCCACCUGGGAAGUACGGCCGCAAGGCUGAAACUUAAAGGAAUUGGCGGGGGAGCACCACAACGGGUGGAGCUUGCGGUUUAAUUGGAUUCAACGCCGGAAAUCUUACCGGGACCGACAGCAACAUGAAGGCCAGGCUGAAGACUUUGCCGGAUUAGCUG